RNAcentral lists this ribosomal RNA (445 nucleotides) under uncultured bacterium. RNAcentral describes it as "partial 16S ribosomal RNA". It matches the Rfam family "Bacterial small subunit ribosomal RNA", at positions 354 to 796 of the family's 1533-position model. The record is from RNAcentral.
GUGAGGAAUAUUGGUCAAUGGACGAGAGUCUGAACCAGCCAAGUCGCGUGAAGGAAGACGGUUCUAUGAAUUGUAAACUUCUUUUGUGCAGGAAUAAAGUGGGUUACGUGUAACCUUUUGUAUGUACUGUACGAAUAAGGAUCGGCUAACUCCGUGCCAGCAGCCGCGGUAAUACGGAGGAUCCGAGCGUUCUCCGGAUAUAUUGGGUUUACAGGGUGCGUAGGGGGAUUGAUAAGUCAGCGGUGAAAGUUUGCAGCUUAACUGUAAAAUUGCCGUUGAAACUGUCGGACUGGAGUGCAAAUGGGGUAGGCGGAAUGUGUUGUGUAGCGGUGAAAUGCUUAGAUAUAACACAGAACUCCGAUUGGGAAGGCAGCUUACUGGGAUGCAACUGACACUGAUGCACGAAAGCGUGGGUAUCAAACAGGAUUAGAAACCCGUGUAGUCC